GGCCUACUAGUGCUUACUACAAGCUGUGUUCAUACACUGACUGUACAGAAGAAGAGGCAGAGUAAACCUACCCCAAAUACACCUCAGCACAAGCUCUGUGCCUAGACUGUAUUGUGAAUGAGAGACAUGG
Tupaia belangeri (northern tree shrew) is the source of this 130-nucleotide small nucleolar RNA. The record is from Ensembl. NCBI's taxonomy places the organism in Eukaryota, Metazoa, Chordata, Mammalia, Scandentia, Tupaiidae.